GAUGAACGCUGGCGGCGUGCCUAAUACAUGCAAGUCGAGCGAACAGACGAGGAGCUUGCUCCUCUGACGUUAGCGGCGGACGGGUGAGUAACACGUGGAUAACCUACCUAUAAGACUGGGAUAACUUCGGGAAACCGGAGCUAAUACCGGAUAAUAUAUUGAACCGCAUGGUUCAAUAGUGAAAGACGGUUUUGCUGUCACUUAUAGAUGGAUCCGCGCCGCAUUAGCUAGUUGGUAAGGUAACGGCUUACCAAGGCAACGAUGCGUAGCCGACCUGAGAGGGUGAUCGGCCACACUGGAACUGAGACACGGUCCAGACUCCUACGGGAGGCAGCAGUAGGGAAUCUUCCGCAAUGGGCGAAAGCCUGACGGAGCAACGCCGCGUGAGUGAUGAAGGUCCUCGGAUCGUAAAACUCUGUUAUUAGGGAAGAACAAAUGUGUAAGUAACUAUGCACGUCUUGACGGUACCUAAUCAGAAAGCCCCGGCUAACUACGUG
This 497-nucleotide ribosomal RNA is filed under the name uncultured bacterium. RNAcentral describes it as "partial 16S ribosomal RNA". It matches the Rfam family "Bacterial small subunit ribosomal RNA", at positions 28 to 507 of the family's 1533-position model. The record is from RNAcentral.